Molecule: ribosomal RNA, 506 nt
Filed under: uncultured bacterium
Lineage: Bacteria
Description: partial 16S ribosomal RNA
Rfam family: Bacterial small subunit ribosomal RNA
Source: RNAcentral
AUUGAACGCUGGCGGCAGGCCUAACACAUGCAAGUCGAGCGGCAGCGGAAAGUAGCUUGCUACUUUGCCGGCGAGCGGCGGACGGGUGAGUAAUGCCUGGGAAACUGCCUGAUGGAGGGGGAUAACUACUGGAAACGGUAGCCAAUACCGCAUAACGUCGCAAGACCAAAGAGGGGGACCUUCGGGCCUCUUGCCAUCAGAUGUGCCCAGAUGGGAUUAGCUAGUAGGUGGGGUAACGGCUCACCUAGGCGACGAUCCCUAGCUGGUCUGAGAGGAUGACCAGCCACACUGGAACUGAGACACGGUCCAGACUCCUACGGGAGGCAGCAGUGGGGAAUAUUGCACAAUGGGCGCAAGCCUGAUGCAGCCAUGCCGCGUGUAUGAAGUAGGCCUUCGGGUUGUAAAGUACUUUCAGCGGGGAGGAAGGUGUUGAGGUUAAUAACCUCAGCAAUUGACGUUACCCGCAGAAGAAGCACCGGCUAACUCCGUGCCAGCCGCCGCCGUAA